Molecule: ribosomal RNA, 433 nt
Filed under: uncultured bacterium
Lineage: Bacteria
Description: partial 16S ribosomal RNA
Rfam family: Bacterial small subunit ribosomal RNA
Source: RNAcentral
AACGAACGCUGGCGGCAUGCCUAACACAUGCAAGUCGAACGAGACCUUCGGGUCUAGUGGCGCGCGGGUGCGUAACGCGUGGGAACCUGCCCUUAGGUUCGGAAUAACUCCCCGAAAGGGGUGCUAAUACCGGAUAAUGUCUUCGGACCAAAGAUUUAUCGCCUUUGGAUGGGCCCGCGUUGGAUUAGCUAGUUGGUAGGGUAAAAGCCUACCAAGGCGACGAUCCAUAGCUGGUCUGAGAGGAUGAUCAGCCACACUGGGACUGAGACACGGCCCAGACUCCUACGGGAGGCAGCAGUGGGGAAUAUUGGACGAUGGGCGAAAGCCUGAUCCAGCAAUGCCGCGUGAGUGAUGAAGGCCUUAGGGUUGUAAAGCUCUUUUACCCGGGAUGAUAAUGACAGUACCGGGAGAAUAAGCUCCGGCUAACUCCGUG